GCCUACCAUGGUGGUAACGGGUAACGGGGUGUUAGGGCACGACACCGGAGAGGGAGCCUGAGAAACGGCUACCACAUCCAAGGAUGGCAGCAGGCGCGCAAAUUACCCAAUCCCGACACGGGGAGGUAGUGACAAUAAAUAACAAUACGGGGCUCUUUUGGGUCUCGUAAUUGGAAUGAGUACAAUUUAAAUCUCUUAACGAGGAACAAUUGGAGGGCAAGUCUGGUGCCAGCAGCCGCGGUAAUUCCAGCUCCAGUAGCGUAUAUUAAAGUUGUUGCAGUUAAAAAGCUCGUAGUUGAAUUUCGGGGUUAGUAGGUUGGUCAUGCCUCUGGUAUGUACUGGUCUCACUGAUUCCUCCUUCCUGAUGAACCGUAAUGCCAUUAAUUUGGUGUUGCGGGGAAUUUGGACUGUUACUUUGAAAAAAUUAGAGUGUUUAAAGCAAGCUAACGCUUGAAUACAUUAGCAUGGAAUAAUGAAAUAGGACGUUCGAUCCUAUUUUGUUGGUUUCUAGGAUUGACGUAAUGAUUAAUAGGGAUAGUUGGGGGCAUUAGUAUUCAAUUGUCAGAGGUGAAAUUCUUGGAUUUAUUGAAGACUGACUACUGCGAAAGCAUUUGCCAAGGAUGUUUUAAUUAAUCAAGAACGAAAGUUAGGGGAUCGAAGACGAUCAGAUACCGUCGUA
This 679-nucleotide ribosomal RNA is filed under the name uncultured Glomus. RNAcentral's name for it is "SSU rRNA". It matches the Rfam family "Eukaryotic small subunit ribosomal RNA", at positions 339 to 1022 of the family's 1831-position model. Lineage: Eukaryota; Fungi; Glomeromycota; Glomeromycetes; Glomerales; Glomeraceae. The record is from RNAcentral.